UAGGGAAUCUUCGGCAAUGGGGGGAACCCUGACCGAGCAACGCCGCGUGAGUGAAGAAGGUUUUCGGAUCGUAAAGCUCUGUUGUUAAGGAAGAACGAGUGUGAGAAUGGAAAGUUCAUACUGUGACGGUAUCUAACCAGAAAGCCACGGCUAACUACGUGCCAGCAGCCGCGGUAAUACGUAGGUGGCAAGCGUUGUCCGGAUUUAUUGGGCGUAAAGCGAGCGCAGGCGGUCAAUUAAGUCUGAUGUGAAAGCCCCCGGCUCAACCGGGGAGGGUCAGUGGAAACUGGUUGACUUGAGUGCAGAAGAGGAGAGUGGAAUUCCAUGUGUAGCGGUGAAAUGCGUAGAUAUAUGGAGGAACACCAGUGGCGAAGGCGACUCUCUGGUCUGUAACUGACGCUGAGGCUCGAAAGCGUGGGUAGCAAACAGG
RNAcentral lists this ribosomal RNA (430 nucleotides) under Bacteroidota bacterium. RNAcentral's name for it is "Bacteroidetes bacterium partial 16S ribosomal RNA". It matches the Rfam family "Bacterial small subunit ribosomal RNA", at positions 355 to 776 of the family's 1533-position model. Lineage: Bacteria; Pseudomonadati; Bacteroidota. The record is from RNAcentral.